CCAGACACCCAUUUUCCUUCCCACUGUUCCUUCCCCAUGGAGAAGCCUGUGGCUGGCUGACAGCAGAGAGAGAUGCUCAACUUGGAGAAGGUGUUACCUGGGCCAGGUGGGGAAGGUUUGUUUGCAGAGCAAAGAAGUGAAGGAAGUAUUAACCCUUUGCAUGGCCUCCUGAGAAUCCGACAAGACGUAAAUAGCCAAGAAUAUCUGUGGAACUUAAUCACUGAGUUACAGUAUUUAUCACUGCAAGUGUGUUGUUCAUUGACACUAUAAAGCCAUGUGGAAUUAAGCAGCCUUGAAACACAAAAUGGAGAAAGGCUGAGAGCUGAGAAUUGUUGCCUUCAGGAAAAUACAAUCAAUGUCAAGCAAACAACCACCCCAAAAUGGAAUGUCAGCCAUUAACCUCACAGUAGGUGAUGAAAAGAUAUUACUUUUUCUCCCCUAUACUACCCAAGCCAGCCACCUCAAGAAAGAACAGUUCAUGUGCAGCCUAUUCAACGUGAAAAAGAUGAGGAUGAAGACCUUUAUUAUGAUCCACUUCCAAGUAAUGAACACACUGGAGAAAGUCAGACAGUCAAAACAAUGUCCCAGACUCCGUGAAGUUCCUGGGUAGAGAAGGAGACAGACAUAUACCAUACCUAAUAAUUGGAUGUCCGAGAGAAUGAGAGAAUGGCAGAAAGAACUUUAGAGCAUGGGUAUGAUGGCUAGAGCUUGAGCAGCCAUUGUGGACAUCAGAUGAACUUGAAAGUGAAAACUAUGAGCUGAAUACGACAAAGCAAACAGAUAGAAAACUGGAUUCAUUAUGACAUUGCAAAGCUGCCAGACCAGCUCUAGUCUGCUUCCCCCUAAUCUUCCUUACUA
This 858-nucleotide non-coding RNA is filed under the name Pan troglodytes (chimpanzee). The record is from RNAcentral. Lineage: Eukaryota; Metazoa; Chordata; Mammalia; Primates; Hominidae.